This 76-nucleotide transfer RNA is filed under the name Hyphomicrobiales bacterium. RNAcentral describes it as "tRNA-Asn". It matches the Rfam family "tRNA". From Rfam's summary of the family: Transfer RNA (tRNA) molecules are approximately 80 nucleotides in length. Their secondary structure includes four short double-helical elements and three loops (D, anti-codon, and T loops). Lineage: Bacteria; Pseudomonadati; Pseudomonadota; Alphaproteobacteria; Hyphomicrobiales. The record is from RNAcentral. RNAcentral also lists the same sequence under 2 other names.
UCCUCGAUAGCUCAGCUGGUAGAGCGUUCGACUGUUAAUCGAAUGGUCGCAGGUUCGAGUCCUGCUCGAGGAGCCA